GGCGUUUGGUGGUAGGUCGGCAUGGCAAUGGUAGUAGUUGAUUCGCUUUUCAAGUUUUCUCGCUCUUGCUUCAGUUUCGCCCAUUUACAUUGCGUACCGGUGAAGAAGGCUGAUGUGGCCAUUUGGUGAUGGCGAGUUUCGGAUGAUCGUGGAUGCAAGUCCAGGUCACGAUACGACGAAGUCCGAAGUAGAUCACUGGCUAGCUGGGGAUGAGCCAAACCAAGCACCGAUUGGCAGCUUGGAAAACCCAUUCAAACAAAUCCAGACGUGUGUGAAUGUUCAACACCAACUCCGAGGCUGUCUGCUAUGGUCUUGGUCAACUGGAGGUAGAUUUGCUGACCUACCGAUGAUGAUGGCAACGGUGCUUGCGGACAUGGAUGCCAGAGUGAUCAGAUGGCUGGCAACAAAGUCAUCACAUCUGUGCUGUGCGGACUGGAACAUACCGGGAACGUGUGAGUGUGAGUGACUGGCCAGAACAGUGUUCGUUACGAGUAUAGGCUUACAACAAUGAACUGGUAACGACGGUGUUGGUGAAGGGAACGGCCGAUAUCUCCAACCUAACCUGGCAACCGUACAAAGGUAGCAUCAUGAUAGCCAGCUUGCUUGACGAGUUUAUCAUCGCUCGAUAUCCAGAACCGUUCCAGCAAUGAGUGAUGAUGGUGGAAACAAGGACAGGUGGCAAAUGCCCAGCUGGAAGAUAUGUUAUCACCAACGACCUGGUCCAGAACGGAGAAGGGGCAGCGUGUACGGUUGAUUCAUCCAGGCACUUCACAUUCCCUUGUGGCAUAAACACAUCCACAAGGUUCACCAUGAGUGGACCGCACCAAUCAGCAUCUCUGGGCUGUACUGUCAACCGGUCGAGCAUUACCUCUCAAACAUAUUGCCGGUAAUGGCUGGUCUCGUCCUGCUCGGCUCUCACUGUAUGCUGCUUCUGCUGUGGGCCUGUAUCUCGCUGGCCUCCGUGUCCGUCGCACACUGCAGCUUCCACCUGUCGUUCAUGCCGUCCAACGAGUACCACGACUACCAUCAUGCAAAGUUCAACCACAACUUUGGCAUGCUGGGAAUCUUUGAUUUGCUGCAUGGCACGGACAGUGACUUCCGUAAAUAAAAGUCGUACGAGCGCCAUUCCAUUUGGCACCACCCCAGGCAACGCUCUGAUUCCAGACGAACCGAAGAAAUGGCAGUAAAGAAGUUAAGUCUGCAGUGCAUGUGCAUGUGUGCAUCCUCACUGCUGUUUCUAGUCUCCUCACAGUCCACCCUUGACCGUCCCAUUCUCCAGUUUCAAUGCUAGUCUCCUCCCAGUCCACCCUUGACCGUCCCAUUCUCCAGUUUCAAUGCUAGUAUCAUCACUACUCUACAUGUAUAUGUAUUUUAGCAUAUCCACCAUCAAUACUGGUCACAUGACAAAUUACACUUACCUACCCUCACUACUUCAAGUAUGCCGCUGAUAUUAUUAUUUUUAUUCACAUAGCUAUGGGUUUUUUUGUGGCAAAUUCACUAGUGGCCUAGCUCAGCCCAAUCUGUGUUCUAUAAUGGGUGGUUAUCGACAUCACACUGUUCAAUCCACCAGACUUAUCAGUGUCGACUCUCAUAGCCAAUGUUUUUUUUUGUGCCACAUUCAUUAGUGCCCUAGCUAUGCCCAAUCUAUGUUCUAUCUUCCAGUCUUAUCAGUGACGGCUCUCAUACAUUGCGCGAAAUCGCGCAUCUAUGAGCGACAUCCACAUAAACUGCUGGGACCAUGGUUGUGUACUCGAAUCUCAUUCUGAGCACCCUUUUUUCUU
Molecule: long non-coding RNA, 1781 nt
Organism: Sycon ciliatum
Lineage: Eukaryota; Metazoa; Porifera; Calcarea; Leucosolenida; Sycettidae
Exons: 3
Source: RefSeq, a predicted model, not a curated record